Ictidomys tridecemlineatus (thirteen-lined ground squirrel) is the source of this 134-nucleotide small nucleolar RNA. Lineage: Eukaryota; Metazoa; Chordata; Mammalia; Rodentia; Sciuridae. The record is from Ensembl.
GUAUGGGUUUGGAUUAUGGCAGGCCUGGGUCACUGAGCAUGUCAUAGGUCCUCUGCCAGAGCAAACUCAGGUUGCACACCAUUGUUUGGCCUCUGUGUUUGUGGGCUGCUAGUACUGAAGUAAGUUGCCCAGUA